This 28-nucleotide small RNA is filed under the name Bombyx mori (domestic silkworm). RNAcentral describes it as "piRNA piR-bmo-1795680". The record is from RNAcentral. Lineage: Eukaryota; Metazoa; Arthropoda; Insecta; Lepidoptera; Bombycidae.
AGACGGUGUGUUUGAAAACGGUUCGAGC